ACGGGAAUCCUCAUCUCAGGUUCUGCUUCUGAGGAAGUUGAUUUAGUCCAUCUGUUCUACUACCACUGAGCCACACCAGCCGGACUGAAGUGGUGUGUUUUAAAUGUUUGGAUUUUAGUUAUGAUGUAGAAGUUGUACUUCCAAACUUUUGUUUGUUUUUAUUUCUACUGAAGAUCAUAUUCUGACACCCUGUCCUCCCUCAACCCCAACCAAUCCAACAAAAGAGCCAUAAUUUUCACCAACAUACUGAACACCAGAGACAAUCAAUGACUCUCGUAAGCAAAACGAUUGCUUUCUGGACUUGUCUCCAGCUCUGGAAAUAAUUUCCAACAUGGAUCUGACUGGCAUUACGUGAACUCAUAUAAGGGCCCGCUCUCUUCAUGGCCUUCCACUGACCACUCACUUCCUCUGGUGGGCCAGCUGGACCUUGUUCUGCUCCUGGUACAGCCUCUAGAGCAAAUGUUGAGGGAACUGAGAUGGCGAUACUUUACAGAGCUGGCUGGCAGAUGUGCAAUCAAGAGAAGGUCCAAAUGGCCAUGAGCAAUUCCUUCUUAGAAGAAAUUAUUUUCAUUCUCCUCUUCUAUUCAGCAGAAACCUUUCCAGCAGGAAAUUGAGCAAUGUGAUGUAAAAGAACAACUGAGUCGCCUCUCACCAUGUUCCUGGUAACUAGAGACUUCUUGAAGCCAAGGUCCUGGUGCUCCUUGCAUGCGAGCUAAGUACAUGAGCGACAAGGUAGAUUAAAUAUUCUUCUCUUUCUGAGAAUGAUCAGGGUGUGGUGUUCUGAUCUCCAUUCCAAGGAUGAAAUGGUCCUUUCCUCUCUCACUAUAGUUGUGAAGAAGUAGAAUUCUUAACUUGACUGUUGAUUACCAUGUGCUCUGAAGGGGUUCUUCAACCCAGGCUAGUGCCUGCACUUCUGAAUCAGGUAUUAUGAGCAAGGUCAGCCAUGGUCAUCUGAGUAUGCCAGUGCAAUUAGAAGGGCAUUGGAUUUUGGAAGCUACUCUUGUAAAAUAUCUUGUGUAAAAUACUCUUGUGCUACAGAGGAAAGUCUUCAUUUUCUAAGUAAACUAACUGCAAUAACUAUCAAACUACAGCUGGUCAGCAAGCCAGCCAUCUGUAAAAAAGAAUACCAUUGACGCACAAAAGCCUUGUUAUACAUUCUUUCAAGAUAUGGAAAUUUUGAACAGACUGAGCUGUUUUUGAACCCAGGAAAGGCAAAAGACAACAUAAAGUAUAUCACCGCAUGGCUGCAUCUUUGCAAAGGAACUCAAACAGUUGGGAGAUGAAAGGAUGAGUAGGAUGGGUAACAUGUUCAUCUUGAAAUUGGAAGAAGUAGGUGGACUGAGAUACCACAUUCACAAGCGAGCGAUGGCAGUGCAGCAGAUGCCUUGUGCAACUCCACUACCCACUGCAUCUGAAUUCUGUGAAGUCUUCUGGGGUCUCUUAAUUGUCUGUAAUGGGCCAUGGAACUGAAUUUGUGAAUAUUGUUCAACUUUACUAUAAACAAGGAAAUAACAUAA
Long non-coding RNA from Myotis lucifugus (little brown bat), 1517 nucleotides. RefSeq lists it as uncharacterized. Lineage: Eukaryota; Metazoa; Chordata; Mammalia; Chiroptera; Vespertilionidae. The record is from RefSeq and is a predicted model, not a curated record. The transcript has 2 exons.